Molecule: unclassified non-coding RNA, 220 nt
Filed under: Hevea brasiliensis (rubber tree)
Lineage: Eukaryota; Viridiplantae; Streptophyta; Magnoliopsida; Malpighiales; Euphorbiaceae
Source: RNAcentral
GUCAGUCACUAGUAUGCUUCAACUGAUUCAUUUCAACUUGGCUGAAAAUCCAGCAAGGCUUAGCUUGGACUAGAUGUUGGAUUACCUGUAAUUAACCAUUUUGUAGUUUCUGGGAUGGUACAAACUUCAGAAAAAUCAUAUUAGCACAUUCUUGAUAAAUUAAUAACUUUUGCCUUUAGAAAAAUCAUAUUAACAGCAUAGACAACUAUUAAAUUAACUU